GGCCGGUGAUGCAGAUUGAUAUUUGCUACUCUUGAUGGGAAGUGAUCCUUCCCAUCUGAUGAAUCUUAUCCACCAAGAUCUCUGAGGCC
Malus domestica (apple) is the source of this 89-nucleotide small nucleolar RNA. RefSeq annotates it as small nucleolar RNA SNORD24. Lineage: Eukaryota; Viridiplantae; Streptophyta; Magnoliopsida; Rosales; Rosaceae. The record is from RefSeq and is a predicted model, not a curated record.